ACUCAGCUGAUGAGUCCCAAAUAGGACGAAGCCUGUGUUCCGAAU
This is a non-coding RNA of Schistosoma margrebowiei, 45 nucleotides long. NCBI's taxonomy places the organism in Eukaryota, Metazoa, Platyhelminthes, Trematoda, Strigeidida, Schistosomatidae. The record is from Rfam.